UUGACACCGUAACUUCGGAAGAAGGUGUGCCUUUAGUAGGUGAAGUCCCUCGCGGAUGGAGCCCAAUGAGGUUGCAAAAAAUCGGUGGCUGCGACUGUUUAUUAAAAACACAGCACUCUGCAAACACGAAAGUGGACGUAUAGGGUGUGACGCCUGCCCGGUGCUGGAAGAUUAAAUGAUGGGGUGCAAGCUCUUGAUUGAAGUCCCAGUAAACGGCGGCCGUAACAAUAACGGUCCUAAGGUAGCGAAAUUCCUUGUCGGGUAAGUUCCGACCUGCACGAAUGGCGUAACGAUGGCCACACUGUCUCCUCCUGAGACUCAGCGAAGUUGAAAUGUUUGUGAUGAUGCAAUCUCCCCGCGGAAAGACGGAAAGACCCCAUGAACCUUUACUGUAGCUUUGUAUUGGACUUUGAACAGAUCUGUGUAGGAUAGGUGGGAGGCUUUGAAGCAGGGUCGCUAGAUCUUGUGGAGCCAACGUUGAAAUACCACCCUGGUGUGUUUGAGGUUCUAACCUAGGCCCGUAAUCCGGGUUGGGGACAGUGCAUGGUAGGCAGUUUGACUGGGGCGGUCUCCUCCCAAAGUGUAACGGAGGAGUUCGAAGGUACGCUAGUUACGGUCGGACAUCGUGACGAUAGUGCAAUGGCAUAAGCGUGCUUAACUGCGAGACUGACAAGUCGAGCAGAUGCGAAAGCAGGACAUAGUGAUCCGGUGGUUCUGUAUGGAAGGGCCAUCGCUCAACGGAUAAAAGGUACUCUGGGGAUAACAGGCUGAUACCGCCCAAGAGUUCAUAUCGACGGCGGUGUUUGGCACCUCGAUGUCGGCUCAUCUCAUCCUGGGGCUGUAGCCGGUCCCAAGGGUAUGGCUGUUCGCCAUUUAAAGAGGUACGUGAGCUGGGUUUAAAACGUCGUGAGACAGUUUGGUCCCUAUCUUCCGUGGGCGCUGCAGAUUUGAGGAAGCCUGCUCCUAGUACGAGAGGACCGGAGUGGACGCACCUCUGGUGUAUCGGUUGUCACGCCAGUGGCAUUGCCGAGUAGCUAUGUGCGGAAGAGAUAACCGCUGAAAGCAUCUAAGCGGGAAACUCGUUUCAAGAUGAGAUCUGCCGGGGCCUUGAGCCCCCUGAAGAGUCGUUCAAGACCAGGACGUUGAUAGGUCGGGUGUGGAAGCGCAGUAAUGCGUUAAGCUAACCGAUACUAAUUGCUCGUGCGGCUUGACCU
This 1214-nucleotide ribosomal RNA is filed under the name metagenome. RNAcentral's name for it is "bacterial LSU rRNA". It matches the Rfam family "Bacterial large subunit ribosomal RNA", at positions 1722 to 2925 of the family's 2925-position model. The record is from RNAcentral.